Molecule: ribosomal RNA, 406 nt
Filed under: uncultured bacterium
Lineage: Bacteria
Description: partial 16S ribosomal RNA
Rfam family: Bacterial small subunit ribosomal RNA
Source: RNAcentral
AUUGAACGCUGGCGGCAUGCUUUACACAUGCAAGUCGGACGAGUGGCGAACGGGUGAGUAAUGACUCGGAACGUACCGGAUAGAGGGGGAUAACUACUCGAAAGGACAGCUAAUACCGCAUACUAUUCGAGCGGCCGAUAUCGGAUUAGCUGGUUGGUGGGGUAAAGGCUCACCAAGGCGACGAUCCUUAGCGGGUCUGAGAGGAUGAGCAGCCACACUGGGACUGAGACACGGCCCAGACUCCUACGGGAGGCAGCAGUGGGGAAUUUUGGACAAUGGGCGCAAGCCUGAUGCAGCCAUGCCGCGUGUAUGAAGAAGGCCUUCGGGUUGUAAAGGACUUUUGGCAGGGAGGCGUUACCUGCAGAAUAAGCACCGGCUAACUACGUGCCAGCAGCCGCGGUAAUUC